This 436-nucleotide long non-coding RNA is filed under the name Polistes fuscatus (common paper wasp). RNAcentral describes it as "uncharacterized LOC122525203". Lineage: Eukaryota; Metazoa; Arthropoda; Insecta; Hymenoptera; Vespidae. The record is from RNAcentral.
AUAAAUAACAACAAAAUUAGAUUGAAAGUAUGAAAGAAAGAAAAUAUAUUACAAUAUAAUAUACAGGUAACUCUUCUGCAACAUGUAAUUCUAUAACAUGAUACAAAAAAUUGUGAAAAUCUUUAUACAGCUACUGUAUUUUUAUAUUAAUGGAUAACACAAUGGUUGAUUGAAAUAUUUAAAAAUUAAAUUAUUGUAAAAUAAUAAAUUUUAGGGGUUUCAUAUAACAAGGUUCAACUUAACACAGUCAAGUCACAGCAACAACAACAAUUUUUUAGGAACCUAUCUACCUUGUUAUAGGAGGGUUACCUGUAUAUAUAUUUAAUUAUAUUAUUAACUAUUAUAUUAUUAAAUUACAAAAAAGAUUAGAUUGAAAGUAUGAAAGAAAGAAAAUGAUUGGGUAAGUACCGCUCCAAUAAAGCCAAUUUUGUUCGAA